Molecule: non-coding RNA, 249 nt
Organism: Salvelinus sp. IW2-2015
Lineage: Eukaryota; Metazoa; Chordata; Actinopteri; Salmoniformes; Salmonidae
Source: RefSeq, a predicted model, not a curated record
GACCUCUCCUCCUGUCAGCCGCCAAGCCAUGUCUCCCAUCACGCCUCGCUCACCACAGCACUAUGGACACCCGUGCUGGCUGCAGGCUCUGAGAGUGGCAGGAGCUCACCCUAUUACGGCUCGCUGGAGGGGCGGCCUAGUACUCCAACAACAUACCACGCCCCCAAGCAUUUCCAUGUACCAGCCUCAGGUGAACCCAACAUCUACAGCAAACCUCCCAUCUAUAAGAGAACGGGUACAGUGGCUUAG